CUAAAGGAUUUCAUGUCUCAGGAGGCUGGUGGUGGCCAUGAUCUGGGCGGGACUAGCAGAGGCCUCAGCUAAGGAGCAUCAGCUUGGGGCUAUGGGUAGUUUGCCUGGUGCCUCUUAUGGGAGCAAUGGGGGUGAUGGCCUAGCUGGGUCCUUGGCCCCGGGAGGGUCCCUUGGCUGCAGUGCACCCCAGUGCUGAGGGGCAACUCCCAGUGCUGGAGUUCGGUGGUCAUUGGCACCAGUGGUAGCCAGCGCUGGGGUAUUCCUCCAUCCUAGGAAUGAAGAUGGGUCACGUGGGAUCUUGGCUCAUACCCAGAGUGUCCUUGACAAGGUGGACGCAAGGCCAAGCCCAACCACCACGAGACACCACGCACCCCUCCCAUGCAACACUCCCUUGUUGUAUCCAUGUCCCAGAGUUUCUCUUGGAGCCAGGCCAUUCCCCAUGGUGCUCAUUUCUGCCUGGGGGCUUUCCAUCAACCCCAUAUGUCUUGGGGUUGUGAAGGCCUUGCACUGUGAUCAGAAGCAUACAAACCAAUGGGUUUGGUGGCAAACAUGGCAAAAUGGAGACUUUCUGGGCAUCAGCUGGGUAGCAUCAGGGCCUUCCUAGGCCUGCUAAAAUCUGGGAAGCCAAGGCCAUCCAGACAGAAGGACCUGUUGGGCUCAGCCUGGGGACACCCUGCUGUAUGCCAGAAGGGUCUACUGGGGUGCUCAGGCAGCAACCCCCUGCCCUACUCAGGGUCUCUGAGGUUCAAUUGGGCCAGGACCAACAUUGGGUGCAGGGAUGAGGCUUGGAGGAUGCACCCCUUUGCAGGACAUGGUCAGGUAAAGCAGAGGAUCGAGCCAUUUCCUGGGUCAUUCUGGCCCUUUUGAGUGUGUUCAGGAGUUUACCAAGUGAAGAGGGGCUUGUGUCCAAAGGUGGGGAUCUGCACUGCUUCACAGAAUUCAAGAGUGGAAAGGGACCUAGAGGACCCUCUUGAGAAGACAAGUCGAAUGUACUGUUUCUUUGGUAGGACUGAAAAAUGCAUAAGGAGGUGAUGGGCCUCUGAGGCCUGAAUUCUGGAAGCAGAGGACCAAAAGUGGAAAAGGUCUUGAAAGACACAUAGUCCUCCCUUCCACAUGAAUUCAGCGAGAGAGCAAGCCAUGUGGAUUGGUGUGCCCUUCCCUGUCCAUGUGCACAGAGACUGCCAUCCAAACAGACAUUCAAAUUCUACCUGUAUGCACUCUUGCUGUUGAGUAGGGGCCUAUGUUCCCAGAACCAACGGGAUGCCAUUCAACUAGGACUUGACUCACCUUGGCUUUGGGGACCAAGAAGGAAGGUUCACCAAGGUGGUGGUGGUAGAAGUGGAGGAGGUGGCACAGGCCUUGGGCUCUUGGGCAUUUUUUUUCCGCCACCUCUCAACCUACCUGCAUGAUUUCUCACACAUUUAAUUGCAUCUCUUACAGUUUUAAAGGCACGUUGGCAGGAAGUCCUGGAUAGUAAAAGAAACACAAACACGGAGACAGUAGGGGAGGAAGCAGGCCCCAGUGGGAGUGGACCAAAGAGCAGUGAGCCUGGGGGUGGAAAUAGAGAGUGAAAGAGCACGCAGUAGAAAAGAGACAGAGAUAGAGAAAUAAAUGUGCAAAAUCUCAGAGAAGUGUGUGGGGGUCAAGGAGUCCAGAAGGGGUCAGAGAGGUAGCAGUUUGGGAUUACUGUGUUUCUUCUGUUACCUCUGUCUUCAGAACAACGUUCAAUGUCACUGUGUUCCUGCAGCACAAAUUAGGCAUUUGCCCGCGCCUUCACUGCCCCAACACGGUGACCAUAAGGUUUCCGUCACAGAAUUUUUGUGGGGAGGAAGAUCAGAACACUUGGGUUUUGACCAUCUACCACUCCCCCAUAGCACACACAAGUCCUCAACAACUUGCACUCCUCUGUAGAGAAGCCUUCUGGGGAGAGCUCUCCAGAGGUUGACAUAGGCCAGGUGUUAGAAGGACAGGUGUGCUUGGAGUGGCUCCUGGCUUUCAAUUUGGUCCCGUCUGACCUAUUCUGGCUUGGGCUCUCCCCCACCCCCUUACCAGGGCUGCUGUGUGAGAAAAGCCAGGGGCUCAGUCCUUCUAUACUGGGAUUGUAAGUUUUAGUGCCACACCCUAGGGGCCAAUGGGAUGCUGGUAGCCUUUGACCACGUGGUAGGUUCCAGGAUGAGCUGGACAGCCAGGAUUCCUGGUGCAACUCAUACAGGAAGCCAUGGCUGGGGAGCCUGGUGGCAGUCAUUAUCUGGGUGGGCCUAGCGAGGCCUCAGCCAAGGAGCAUCGGCUCAGAGCCCUGGACAGUUUGCCUUGUGCCCCUUCCCCUGGGAGCAACGAGGGUGAUGCCUAGCUGGGUCUACAGCCCUGGAAGACUCUCUUGGCCACGCUGCAUGCCAGUGAGGAGGGGCCACUACUAGCGCUG
Molecule: long non-coding RNA, 2422 nt
Filed under: Homo sapiens (human)
Lineage: Eukaryota; Metazoa; Chordata; Mammalia; Primates; Hominidae
Description: HSALNT0285579
Source: RNAcentral